This 480-nucleotide ribosomal RNA is filed under the name uncultured soil bacterium. Its description in RNAcentral is "bacterial SSU rRNA". It matches the Rfam family "Bacterial small subunit ribosomal RNA", at positions 26 to 518 of the family's 1533-position model. The record is from RNAcentral.
AGGACGAACGCUGGCGGCGUGCUUAACACAUGCAAGUCGAGCGAGGCCCGCCUUUCGGGGUGGUGUCCUAGCGGCGAACGGGUGAGUAACACGUGGGCAACCUGCCCCUGGCUCUGGGAUAACUCCAAGAAAUUGGGGCUAAUACCGGAUAUGACCGCUGACCGCAUGGUCUGGUGGUGGAAAGAUUUAUCGGGCUGGGGGAUGGGGCCCGCGGCCUAUCAGCUUGUUGGUGGGGUAUGGCCCACCAAGGCGACGACGGGUAGCCGGCCUGAGAGGGUGACCGGCCACACUGGGACUGAGACACGGCCCAGACUCCUACGGGAGGCAGCAGUGGGGAAUAUUGCGCAAUGGGCGAAGCCUGACGCAGCGACGCCGCGUGGGGGAUGACGGCCUUCGGGUUGUAAACCUCUUUCAGUAGGACGAAGCGCAAGUGACGGUACCUACAGAAGAAGCACCGGCCAACUACGUGCCAGCAGCCGC